Long non-coding RNA from Scylla paramamosain (green mud crab), 1887 nucleotides. RefSeq lists it as uncharacterized. Lineage: Eukaryota; Metazoa; Arthropoda; Malacostraca; Decapoda; Portunidae. The record is from RefSeq and is a predicted model, not a curated record. The transcript has 3 exons.
GGGAGAUAGUGAGCCGGGACGCCUUGCCCUGGGCGGAGGUGGCUCACGUGUGUGUUGAUCAGGUGACAAACUCUCCGUUUCCUGUCGCGGGACUAAUGUGUGGUUUGUGCGACGCGUAAUGUGUCUCCUCCCCGCCAUUACCCGUUGCGUUGUGUCCACAGGGGAGGAGGGACGCCUGGGGGCACACACACACACACACACACACACACACACCAAUCACCCUCCUGGGCAACCGCUGUGGUGACGGGCGCGGGCAGGUGCUGCUUGAGGGUCACAUGGGUACUGUCGCAAGGCCGUCCUGGUGCCACGCUUUGAGGGCAGGACGCGAUGGGCAGACCUUGAUGAAGCGCUUAUGUGGCCCUCCAGCCAGCGCUUCCACCUCAUCACCACCACCACAGGGCCACCACCACCACCACCGCCGUUUGAACACGACACGUGAAGCAGCCGCGUGGUGCAGCCAAGUCCAGGGCGCGAGCACGGGCCGGAACACAUCCAAUAGACUGGGCGAGAAUCAUUGGGAGUGGGCCGUGAGAUCCUCCACCUGAAACAACUGACGAUCAAGCGGGCGCAGUGUGUGAUCCGAUCCCUUGCACACGAACCCAAAUGGCACCCAGGAAUGGACUCUUAAUGCCCCGCCUCCCCCUCGCCAACACAGUCGCUCUUUGUGCACGGAAUUCGCACAGAAAUAAAGAGAUACAAGCGAGGACGAGAUAAGCGUCCAUCCCUAAGUUUUAAGUGAGUUAGUGCCGCCCGGGAAAGAAGAAAGGAGUGUGCGGAACAGAAGAAUAAAAGAAUUAGAAAAAUGAGUCAUUGCAAAAGAAAAACGCUCCAGGAUGAGGGAAAACAAUUAAAUCUUGUCCAUUGUUGAAGUCUUGCUUGUUUCCUCAGGUCAAAGAUGAAACACGUCGCAAAACAUUCCGGGAAAAUCUAAUUCUUAGGAGUUUUUUUCUUCUUCCUCUUAUCCCGAGGAGUGAGUGGGCAAGGAAGAAGGCGAGGGGGGUAUGAGGAGGAAGAAGUGAAAGGAGAGAGGAGGGACAGAAGAAGACGGGAAAGGAGAGGGAAGUGAGUGAAAGGAAAGGAGGGAGUAGAAUGGAGGCAAAAAUGGGAAUGGAGGGACAAGAGAGAGAGAGAGAGAGAGAGAGAGAGAGAGAGAGAGAGAGAGAGAGAGAGAGAGAGAGAGAGAGAGGGAGAGGAAUAGCAGGGAGGGGAGGUGGAGGCUACGAGGAGACAAUGGGCCGGCACAAAGGGGAAUAAUUUGUGUCCUGCUCAUAAUAAAGUUACAAGAAUGGUACGGGGAAACUUGUCUAAUUUCUGCAUUUUAAAAAGUUUGCCAGACAAGCUUCCUGUUUUUUUCCAAGCCAUUUGAGGUGAAAAAUGGAGCAGAUUGGUAUUUGUGUUUCCAAUGAGCGCCCUGGGACACUUUUCCACUUUCGGAUAUUUUCUUUUUCUUUCGGAGAUGAAGAAAAGAAGAAGAAACACUACCACCACCACCACCACCACUACCACCAGCUCUCCUUUCCGUCUCCCUCCCGCCCUCUUUCGUUGUCCCCCACCUUGUUAUCAUCGUUAACCCAAAUUGUUCUCGCCGCGUCGUUGUGAGAUCUCGACUCGGUACACAACAAGAACACAAAACAGGUGAGGAGACGGCGGCCUCGGCAGUGGAAGGGGCCGGGGAGGGAGUAAGGAUGGCCCCAGGCGACUGUGUGAUUUUUCAAGGAGGAAAGAAAGGAGGAGGAGGACAGGAGGAGUGUGGGUGGAGUUGAGGAGCAUUGGGCAGUGGAGGAGGGGGUGUGAGGAGACGGAGUAUGGUGGAGUGAACAGUUGGAGGAGGAGGAGGAGGAGGAGGAGGAGGUACUGAAAAGGUACAGCUAUGGAGUUACUUUUCAU